This 769-nucleotide long non-coding RNA is filed under the name Anser brachyrhynchus (Pink-footed goose). RNAcentral describes it as "lncRNA (ENSABRG00000002022.1)". The record is from RNAcentral. Lineage: Eukaryota; Metazoa; Chordata; Aves; Anseriformes; Anatidae.
GUUACUUUUUUUAGUUAAAAAAAAAGAGAAUUAAAAGUAGAAAAAAAUCAUCACCAACAACAACUACUAACAACAAUACCACACACGGAAAAAAAAAACUGGUAAUUUUUUUACUUAUCCCUAUUGCUGGACAUGGGUCAUUUUUCAGGGCCUUUGGCAUAUCCUGUUUGUGAUGAAGACUGUAAGUAUUCAAUUUGCUACUUAAGCAAUUUGUGAGGAGGUACUGUGCAGCACUUGGAUGGAAGACUCAGCUGGGUUGGAAAGGAGGGAAAACAAUGUUGUGCAGGGUACCCUGGCUCUGUACCAUGGAUCACUUAUUCUAGGAAUGUCUGAGUUGUGUUUCAAUGUUUUUCCUAAUAUUUAGAGGUGUAACUGAAUACUCCGGGGAAUUUUUGUGGCCAUUGAUAUGGUUCAUUACUGGAGGCAUUCACACUGCUUUCUACCAUAAUGUUGCUGCCUGGUUUAUUGAAACCAUAGUGAAGUCAACAAUGCAAACCUUUGCACAGGUAUGUGUUCCAAGGACAAAUAUUUCAUCAUUUUGUAAAUAUUUUGAUGGAACAAUGGGAGAAAAGGAGGAAACUCCCCCAUUUUUUCUUUUCCCUUUUCCUGUGUGUGUGUGUGUGUGUGUUAAUACUUGCAAGCUCUGUCUAGAUUAGCUUUUAGUUGAGAAUAGUAACGAGGAUAGGGAGCAUUCUGAACCAUUUACUGGUGGAGACAAGAGGUCCAGAGGGUCAGACUGAAUAUUGAAAUAAAACUCAGACCACAUGCA